Molecule: ribosomal RNA, 72 nt
Filed under: Klebsiella quasipneumoniae subsp. similipneumoniae
Lineage: Bacteria; Pseudomonadati; Pseudomonadota; Gammaproteobacteria; Enterobacterales; Enterobacteriaceae
Also listed under: 1 other name
Description: partial 16S ribosomal RNA
Rfam family: Bacterial small subunit ribosomal RNA
Source: RNAcentral
UUAAAUUGAAGAGUUUGAUCAUGGCUCAGAUUGAACGCUGGCGGCAGGCCUAACACAUGCAAGUCGAGCGGU